CUGCCUACGGGGCGCAGCAGUCGGGAAUAUUGCGCAAUGGAGGAAACUCUGACGCAGUGACGCCGCGUAUAGGAAGAAGGUCUUCGGAUUGUAAACUAUUGUCAUUAGGGAAGAGAAAGGACAGUACCUAAAGAGGAAGCUCCGGCUAACUACGUGCCAGCAGCCGCGGUAAUACGUAGGGAGCAAGCGUUAUCCGGAUUUACUGGGUGUAAAGGGAGCGUAGACGGCUGUGCAAGUCUGAAGUGAAAUGCCGGGGCCCAACCCCGGAACUGCUUUGGAAACUGUACAGCUAGAGUGCAGGAGGG
RNAcentral lists this ribosomal RNA (305 nucleotides) under uncultured bacterium. Its description in RNAcentral is "bacterial SSU rRNA". It matches the Rfam family "Bacterial small subunit ribosomal RNA", at positions 335 to 656 of the family's 1533-position model. The record is from RNAcentral.